GGCGGCAUAGCUCAGUUGGUAGAGCAACGGAAUCAUAAUCCGUUUGUCGUCGGUUCAAGUCCGGCUGCCGCUA
RNAcentral lists this transfer RNA (73 nucleotides) under Candidatus Protochlamydia sp. Its description in RNAcentral is "tRNA-Met". It matches the Rfam family "tRNA". Rfam says of the family: Transfer RNA (tRNA) molecules are approximately 80 nucleotides in length. Lineage: Bacteria; Pseudomonadati; Chlamydiota; Chlamydiia; Parachlamydiales; Parachlamydiaceae. The record is from RNAcentral.